CUAAUGAUCUCGGCCGACGGUGCCUCCGCGAGGAGGUGAAAAGGGAACGCGGUGCGAUGCCGCGGCUGCCCCCGCAACUGUAAGCGGCGAGUUCUGCGCCAUCGGCCACUGGGACACCAUCCCGGGAAGGCGGCGAAGGAUGCCUAGACCCGCGAGCCAGGAGACCUGCCGUCAACAGUGUUCCUAU
This 187-nucleotide non-coding RNA is filed under the name Allobosea vaviloviae. Lineage: Bacteria; Pseudomonadati; Pseudomonadota; Alphaproteobacteria; Hyphomicrobiales; Alloboseaceae. The record is from RNAcentral.